This 58-nucleotide transfer RNA is filed under the name Salmo salar (Atlantic salmon). It matches the Rfam family "tRNA", at positions 8 to 63 of the family's 71-position model. Rfam says of the family: Transfer RNA (tRNA) molecules are approximately 80 nucleotides in length. Their secondary structure includes four short double-helical elements and three loops (D, anti-codon, and T loops). The record is from Rfam by way of RNAcentral. RNAcentral also lists the same sequence under 1 other name. Lineage: Eukaryota; Metazoa; Chordata; Actinopteri; Salmoniformes; Salmonidae.
UGGCUCAGUUGGUAGAGCAUGAUGCUUGCAAUGUCAGGGUUGUGGGUUUGAUUCCCAU